CAAGUUUACCUGUUUCAAGCUUUUUGUGGCUGAGGUGACAGCUUGGUAUUAUUCCAGAAUCACACCCAAUCCUACCCAUGUCAAGUUUACCUGUUUCAAGCUUUUUAUGGCUGAGGUGACAGCUUGGUAUUAUUCCAGAAUCACACCCAAGCUUACCCAUAUCAAGUUUACCUGUUUCAAGCUUUUUGUGGCUGAGGUGACAGCUUGGUAUUAUUCCAGAAUCACACCCAAGCUUACCCAUAUCAAGUUUACCUGUUUCAAGCUUUUUGUGGCUGAGGUGACAGCUUGGUAUUAUUCCAGAAUCACACCCAAGCUUACCCAUAUCAAGUUUACCUGUUUCAAGCUUUUUGUGGCUGAGGUGACAGCUUGGUAUUAUUCCAGAAUCACACCCAAGCUUACCCAUGUCAAGUUUACCUGUUUCAAGCUUUUUGUGGCUGAGGUGACAGCUUGGUAUUAUUCCAGAAUCACACCCAAGCUUACCCAUGUCAAGUUUACCUGUUUCAAGCUUUUUGUGGCUGAGGUGACAGCUUGGUAUUAUUCCAGAAUCACACCCAAGCUUACCCAUGUCAAGUUUACCUGUUUCAAGCUUUUUGUGGCUGAG
Molecule: long non-coding RNA, 601 nt
Organism: Eriocheir sinensis (Chinese mitten crab)
Lineage: Eukaryota; Metazoa; Arthropoda; Malacostraca; Decapoda; Varunidae
Exons: 3
Source: RefSeq, a predicted model, not a curated record